RNAcentral lists this transfer RNA (72 nucleotides) under Bos taurus (domestic cattle). It matches the Rfam family "tRNA". From Rfam's summary of the family: Transfer RNA (tRNA) molecules are approximately 80 nucleotides in length. RNAcentral also lists the same sequence under 4 other names. Lineage: Eukaryota; Metazoa; Chordata; Mammalia; Artiodactyla; Bovidae. The record is from Rfam by way of RNAcentral.
UCCCUGGUGGUCCAGUGGCUAAGACUCCACACUCUCAAUGCUGGGGCCCAUGUUUGAUCCCUGGUCAGGGAA